This 420-nucleotide ribosomal RNA is filed under the name bacterium. RNAcentral describes it as "partial 16S ribosomal RNA". It matches the Rfam family "Bacterial small subunit ribosomal RNA", at positions 355 to 776 of the family's 1533-position model. The record is from RNAcentral.
UGGGGGAUAUUGCACAAUGGGCGAAAGCCUGAUGCAGCGACGCCGCGUGGGGGAUGAAGGCUUUCGGGUUGUAAACCUCUUUCGCUAUCGAACAAGGCCCGCUUAGGGUGGGUUGAGGGUAGGUGGAGAAGAAGCGCCGGCUAACUACGUGACAGCAGCCGCGGUAAUACGUAGGGCGCGAGCGUUGUCCGGAAUUAUUGGGCGUAAAGGGCUUGUAGGCGGCUUGUUGCGCCUGCUGUGAAAACGCGGGGCUUAACUUCGCGCGUGCAGUGGGUACGGGCAGGCUUGAGUGUGGUAGGGGUGACUGGAAUUCCAGGUGUAGCGGUGGAAUGCGCAGAUAUCUGGAGGAACACCGAUGGCGAAGGCAGGUCACUGGGCCAUUACUGACGCUGAGGAGCGAAAGCAUGGGUAGCGAACAGG